Molecule: long non-coding RNA, 230 nt
Filed under: Nicotiana benthamiana
Lineage: Eukaryota; Viridiplantae; Streptophyta; Magnoliopsida; Solanales; Solanaceae
Description: long non-coding RNA (NBEN_LNC000893)
Source: RNAcentral
AAGAGUCAAUUUUGACCAAGCUAGAGGAUCUUUAUUCUGUAGAUACUGCAAAAAAUCUGGCCACUUAAUUGGUAAGUGUUUCAAGAUUCAUGGGUAUCCACAAAGUACAACAUUUAACAACGGGAGGAGACCUGCUGCCGCUCAUCUAACUGCUGGGUGUGGAUUUUCCUUCUUCUGAAGGACAUGUGUCUGUUCCCCAAGGAAAUCCUCCUGAAAGCCAUCACUCUGUU